GGCUCAAUGGUCUAGAAGCAUGAUACCUGCUUUGGGUGCAGGUGGUCCCGGGUUCAAUUCCCGGUUGGGCCC
This 72-nucleotide transfer RNA is filed under the name Fistulina hepatica ATCC 64428. RNAcentral describes it as "tRNA-Pro (TGG) (tRNA-Pro-TGG-2-1)". It matches the Rfam family "tRNA". From Rfam's summary of the family: Transfer RNA (tRNA) molecules are approximately 80 nucleotides in length. Their secondary structure includes four short double-helical elements and three loops (D, anti-codon, and T loops). The record is from RNAcentral. Lineage: Eukaryota; Fungi; Basidiomycota; Agaricomycetes; Agaricales; Fistulinaceae.